Bos indicus x Bos taurus (hybrid cattle) is the source of this 194-nucleotide long non-coding RNA. Lineage: Eukaryota; Metazoa; Chordata; Mammalia; Artiodactyla; Bovidae. The record is from Ensembl.
GGACGCGCUCGGCUACCGCCGUCUAGCAAGUUUGUCUUGGUUUCUGUGUUUGAGAAAAUCCUGAACUUCAGUUCUUGUCAACUCCAUCUCCAAAAGUAUCUGAUUCUCUGAAAGGAACUGUGCCUUCAUCAUUCCAUAUGACCCUGACGGCUGUGCCCUCCUCAGCCAGUGAGAGAACCUGUGACUCCUGGUAA